Molecule: RNase P RNA, 368 nt
Filed under: Saprospiraceae bacterium
Lineage: Bacteria; Pseudomonadati; Bacteroidota; Saprospiria; Saprospirales; Saprospiraceae
Description: RNase P RNA component class A
Rfam family: Bacterial RNase P class A
About the family: Ribonuclease P (RNase P) is a ubiquitous endoribonuclease, found in archaea, bacteria and eukarya as well as chloroplasts and mitochondria. Its best characterised activity is the generation of mature 5'-ends of tRNAs by cleaving the 5'-leader elements of precursor-tRNAs.
Source: RNAcentral
UUCGCAUACCGCUCUGUCGCACUAUAUUCAUAUAGUGAGGAAAGUCCGGACAGCGUAGAGUACCAUGCCAUCUAACGGGUGGGGUCACGCCUCGGCGUGAUACAGAUAGUGUCACAGAAACUAAACUUCCAUACCUCUGGUGUGGUAAAGGUGAAAACGUGAGGUAAGAGCUCACGAUGUCAUUCAGUAAUGAGUGACAUGGAUAAACCUCAUGGGCUGAAAUGCCAUGUACACUUUGGACCGCAUUGCGGAUAAGGUUACUCGCUUAAUCAACAUGAGAUGAUCCAAAGGGGGUAGGCAGAAUAGAGAAAUGACAGAGGUCACGCCUCGGCGAGAUACAGAAUCCGGCUUAUAGGUAUGCGAUUUUU